Molecule: ribosomal RNA, 497 nt
Filed under: uncultured bacterium
Lineage: Bacteria
Description: partial 16S ribosomal RNA
Rfam family: Bacterial small subunit ribosomal RNA
Source: RNAcentral
GAUGAACGCUGGCGGCGUGCCUAAUACAUGCAAGUCGAGCGAACGGACGAGAAGCUUGCUUCUCUGAUGUUAGCGGCGGAUGGGUGAGUAACACGUGGAUAACCUACCUAUAAGACUGGGAUAACUUCGGGAAACCGGAGCUAAUACCGGAUAAUAUUUUGAACCGCAUGGUUCAAAAGUGAAAGACGGUCUUGCUGUCACUUAUAGAUGGAUCCGCGCUGCAUUAGCUAGUUGGUAAGGUAACGGCUUACCAAGGCAACGAUGCAUAGCCGACCUGAGAGGGCGAUCGGCCACACUGGAACUGAGACACGGUCCAGACUCCUACGGGAGGCAGCAGUAGGGAAUCUUCCGCAAUGGGCGAAAGCCUGACGGAGCAACGCCGCGUGAGUGAUGAAGGUCUUCGGAUCGUAAAACUCUGUUAUUAGGGAAGAACAUAUGUGUAAGUAACUGUGCACAUCUUGACGGUACCUAAUCAGAAAGCCACGGCUAACUACGUG